This is a long non-coding RNA of Amphiprion ocellaris (clown anemonefish), 1035 nucleotides long. The record is from Ensembl. NCBI's taxonomy places the organism in Eukaryota, Metazoa, Chordata, Actinopteri, Pomacentridae.
GUUAUCGAUCCGUGUCACAGUCACAGUGCUCCUCCCUCCCUUGGGCCUGGUCUCUCACUCUUCCUCUCCUAGGUGUGCAGCGGUGCAGCUGAGUGGCGGCAGGUGUGGCGAGUUGUAAUCAGCAGAUCAAGUGCAGAAUCGGCUCCUGCCUGCUUGUGUCCCUGGCUCUUCAGCGUCCACACCGUCUGCAGUGAGUUGCCUUACCUGGAUUCCUUGGAUCCUUGGUCCUGGAACGCACACCUGCCGCUGUCACAGGAACACAGCCACGCCAGCUGGAACGCCAUACUCAUCUAGUCUGAAGCCAGUCCCGGUCGUCCUCUGGCAAGCCAGCCUUUCCCCUGCAGGCUGAGUUACAUCAAGGAGGAGAUCCGUUCCCCCCUGGACUGCUCGAUUCUGGCUUCUAGCUUGGACUGUGUCUCACCUAGGACAUUCAAGUGAAGUAGCAGUCCCUCCUCAAGGUCAGAGAUUGCAGCAUCUGAGGGCCUCUUCAAAAGAAGACGUAGUUGAUGAAGGCAUUCUGGAGCAGGACCAGAAAGACCACGACCAAGCAGCCUUGAGAUCUUAAGCAGCGUCUCCCUGAGUUCUGCCGGGCCAGAUCAGCUUCCCCUCAGAAGAAGUGGCGCCACCUGCCAGAUGAAGGAGCCUUUUGAGAGGCAGCCGGCAUCGUGAUUGGACUAUACUUUGGUCUGUUCCAAUCCAGCUUCAGCUCCAGAGACGGCAGGCGGGACGAGUCAACAGAGGCCGGGUGGACAAAGGCAUGCAGCUGAGUACAAUCUAGAAAACAAAAGAGCAAAAGAGGAGGAGUGCAGCAGCCCAGGACCAGAACAGACAGAUUAGCAUAGUAUGUCUCUUAGAAAACAUCAUAGCCUUUGGUAUGAAAAAACGGCAUCAUAUACAUCGUAUAUUGUAUAAAUAACAAGUCAAAGGAAAGAGACAUACAUUGUAGAAUUGUAGUAAUUGUUGGCUGACUGAUUUACUGAUUAUCAGUAUUUUAUUUUUUAAUGAUUUACGGUAAUAAAUAAAUUUAAAAAUGGU